UACGUAGGGUCCGAGCGUUGUCCGGAAUUAUUGGGCGUAAAGGGCUCGUAGGCGGUUCGUCACGUCGGGAGUGAAAACUCGGAGCUUAACUCCGAGCCUGCUUCCGAUACGGGCAGACUAGAGGUAGGCAGGGGAGAGCGGAACUCCUGGUGUAGCGGUGGAAUGCGCAGAUAUCAGGAAGAACACCGGUGGCGAAGGCGGCUCUCUGGGCCUUACCUGACGCUGAGGAGCGAAAGCAUGGGGAGCGAACAGG
RNAcentral lists this ribosomal RNA (253 nucleotides) under uncultured bacterium. RNAcentral describes it as "partial 16S ribosomal RNA". It matches the Rfam family "Bacterial small subunit ribosomal RNA", at positions 524 to 776 of the family's 1533-position model. The record is from RNAcentral.